Long non-coding RNA from Equus caballus (horse), 6106 nucleotides. RefSeq lists it as uncharacterized. NCBI's taxonomy places the organism in Eukaryota, Metazoa, Chordata, Mammalia, Perissodactyla, Equidae. The record is from RefSeq and is a predicted model, not a curated record.
AUAAAAGGGAGUGAGGAGAAGGCUCAGCAAUGGACUUUACCUGCUCUGUGGAGCAAUGGAAAGUACAAACUCCAUCGUGAGUGAUAUGGCCUUGAAAACUAAGGAGCAGGGGUUAGAAUUUGCCUCCCUGAAACUGAAUGUUGAACGUGGAUGACAGCAUCGGGACAGGCCUCCAGAUGGUGCAGAGAGACGACUGGCAAGCUGAAGUGUGAUAAUGAGGGUAAUACACAUGUACACGACUUUAUAGUGGCUUUGCUGCAGUGUGUGGGGUCAUCUUCUAUGACCUCCGUGGAGCAUGAUGGCUGAGGAACACCCAGUCUAAGCCUAGAGCAUGCUGCCCUGAGAGUGAGUCUUCUGGAAGGAGGCACAGGCUCUGCAUCAGAUGGGCCUGCAUUCCCACCCGGCUCUUUCACUGAGAGAUUUGUGGGGCAUGGGGCAAAUCAGCCAUAAAGCUCUGUUUCCUCAAUAGUGUGCUGGGGAUGAUAUUGGUACUGCCUGCUAGUAGGUAUUUUGAGGGAUAAAUGAUACAAUGGAGCUAAAGCCUUUAGAAAAGUGACUGGCACUUCAAAGCACGGAAAGAAUAAGUGUUAGCUAUUAUCACCAUUGUGCUUUUUGCCCGCCAUGCCACAGCAUAAACACUUUUCCAUGUUUUUCACAAUCACGAUUUUUUUUCGCAAUCAUGAUUUUUAAUGGCUGCAUGAAAUUAUAUUUUAGGGAUAUGCUAGAGUUUAAUUAUUCCUCUCUCACUGAAUAUAUUUUCAGGUUUUUUGUACGUGAUGCUGGAAGGAAGAUCUUAAUAGACAAAUCUUUCUUUGGUGGUUCUGUUCACUGUGUUCUUAGGAUUGUUUCCUAUCAGUGGAGUAGCAAGGUGGGAGCAGUUGAAAAAUUUCAAGGUUAUUAAUACAUAUUAAAGAGUUGCACCUGUUUACUCUCACAUGAUACCUACGUUAUGGAACCCCCGCUCCUUGUCAAGGUCAUUCUUGAGUAUUACCAUGCAACUUAAUUAGUUUUUCUUAUUGUAAAAUCCAGACUAUAUGUUACAUCAUCUUUACACUUUGUAUGUUUUGAGUUUUAAAACAUAGAGGAAGUUGUAUUUAAUUUGCAAUCACAUUUAUUUAGACGGAUUUUUGUAUAUAAUUGCUUUUGGUGCACACCAUCCAAUCUUUUGUACUCUUGAUUUUACCACUCUUGGGCUCUUUCAUUUUCUUUGUCACUAAUCAGUUACAGUAUCUUCAAUUAUUAUUUUUUCAAGAAGGUUUUAUGGAUGGUAUGAUUUCUUAAGCAUUUUUUGUUUUCACACAUAAAAGACAACUUGACCGGGCGAAAAAUUCUUAUGUAAAAACCACCAAAAAUGAUUUGUCUCUAAGAUGCCAAAUUGCCUGAUAGAAAUAGAAAAUGUGUAAGCAGGCAGUUUUUUUUUUUCUUCUCAAGAGCUAACAGAGUCUAUAGAGCUUUAGAACAGAGUUCUCCAAUAGAACUUUCUACCAUGGGGAGAAUGUUAUAUAGUCUGUACUAUCCAGUGCGGCAGCCACUGGCCUCUUGAAGUUAUUUAGCACUUGAAAUAUGGCUAGUGCAGCUGAGGAACUGGAUUUUAAUUUUUUAAAGUUUACUCAAAUUAAAUGUAAACACUGAUCAUGUGGCUAGUGGCUUCCAGAUUAGACACCACAAUUCUAGAAAUAUAGAAUGGAAAGGAAGCCUAGAAGCUCAGAUCAAUUUUGCUGCCUUGAGCAGGUCAGAUUAUCUUCCCGGGUCUCAGUUUCCCUGUCUAUGAAAUGAUACAGCUUUCUCAAGACCACGUAAGAAGUUAAUGUUAAAGCUUACACCAGAGUCUUAAGAAACUCUCAGCUCAGAAUUGUCUUUUUCAGGCCAUGGUGCAAACGAAUAGUUGAAGCUUUAAGCUGUGAUGCCAAAGAUAAUAAAUUAAGAUUCAUUUUUUUUCCCCAAUUCCCUUGCCUUUCAAGCUAAUAGCCUUGGUGCACCUGACCACCCUACCUAAAUUGGCAUUCCUAGUAGUUCCUUAUUCCUAUAUCCUGCUUAAUUUUUCUUUCUUUAUCAUUACUCGAAAUUACAUAAAAUAUUUGUGUAAGCGUACAUUUGUCUGUUCCCCCCCCAGGAGGUUAGCUCCAUGGAAUCAGGGACCUUGGCUAAGGCUGUGUCUUCAUUGUUUGGAAAGGGCUCGAUGCACAGCAUGUACUCCUUACCUCCUUGUUGAGGGAGUGGAUGAGUGAAAAAAAAAAUCUAUUCAUUAAAGUCAAUUAGGGAAAGUUUGCAGUCCGGUCGAAGAGGAGGAGGCGGUUGCUGCUUUACCCGCUCACAUAGAGAUUUUAGUUUUCAGUUAACAGUUUAGUUUCAAUUUGAGAUUUUAUCUUUUUGAGCUCUGUACCAUUGGGUAGGCAUGCUGUCACGCAGAGGCAUUUUCUCCCCAAUUAAACGAUCAGUCCCAGAGAACAGCUCAGCUCUUACUGUUUUUAUUGCUCCCACUACACUUGGGUCGACAUUCGGAGGAGGUCGAUGCAUUCACCUGAAGGAUGACUGAGACCUGGCCCAGGAAGACCUUUUGUUCCCUGAAAUCACUCUCAGCUGCAUAUGCAUCUGUAAAAUGGGGAAGUACUACCUGCACCGUGGUAUUGACAUGAAGACAUCAAUGCAAGGACACAGGAAAAGCAUCCAAUACAAUGCCUGUCAAUGUGCAUUGCCUUCUCUCUCCCAUUCUAACCCUAAAGGUUAAGCUCAAGGAAGUGGAGGAGCAGUGCUCCAAAUCCAGAUUUUCUGCCUCAAAAUACUGUACUCUUUUGAUCACACCGGGCUUGGUCCCCAGCCUGUCUGCCUGAGUGCUACUCAACAUCAUUGAGUUUCGGGGAGAGUGGGAACGGGGGUGGGGAUUGACUUUCAAGGACUAUUCCAGGCCAAGUCUUCUCAAUCCUGUCCAGCUCACGUGGAUGUGUAUGGGCAAAGCAAUCCUGAAUAGGCGGGCUGUGGUCAGCCUGACCCAGCACCUUGCCUCAUCGAGCUGCACGUCUACUCUGAGAGUCUAUAAAUGCCGCGGAGCCCUCACAAUGAAACCCUUCACAAUGGAGUGCCUGGAUUUUAUUGAGAAAAGCCAAUCCCCUCCCAUCUGUCAUUUGGCACUUAGUACUGUAGUUAUUCUAGAUGAGUGAACACUUGUGUUAUAUUUUCCAAUAGCAAAACUGGGGUCACCAGGGUGCCUGCUGUUUUAGCCGAAUCCAGAUGGGGUUUUCCUAUAAACAAGUGCACACGGAAUAUUUAUGCCGCCCGUGGCACCUGACGCCUUAAUACUCAGGACUUCUAUGUAGUAGCCACUCUUCCUAUAAGUCACUUUAGCACACUAAGUAAAUAUUUUAAUAUAGCCAUGUCACUGUUUAUUAUAGAAUGGCUUGGGCCCAGAUCUUGCCUAAUGCUUGGUUAAAAAGUCAGUUUAUACCAUCCUUUAAAGUGAAUCAAAGAAUGCAUAAACGCCACUCUUUUGUUACUCAGAACUCUGUUUACUUUACUUUUCUGUAAACCUUGUGAAAUGCUUGCUUACAAAAAGCUGACAGAUGCCAGAUUUGCUCAUUAACUGGAGGUGUUUUCCAAGUCGGGAAGGUGAGGUGUGAAUGUGGGAGGUGGGGCUUCUUCUCCGAGGCCAUCUCCCAGCGUCCACUGCCCGGGGGGCCUGCUGUCUUGCUUGGGGAUCUUGACCCAGAGCUGCCAAGCAGUGAAUGGGACUGAGAAACACCAAGUCAGGGUCCUGGCUCCUAAGUCAAGCCCUGCUUCUGCCUUGAAACAGUAAAGGCCACCUGGGCACCCUGAGACUUGGAAGGACUUGAAAGGUUCAGAGUCCAAUCCUCUGCCUUCAUCAGGCACCCAUUUAAAACAAGUGAUAAUAUUCAUCGUGUGAAAACCUUGUGAUAUUUACCAGUUCUUAGUGCCAUUUAAUUUCUAAGCCUCACCCUGAAGACUCAGACGUUCCCUACAGGCAUGGCAACUGAAAUGUUGAUAUGUGCUUUCAGGUGCCUCAGAGGUUUAAUGCUUAUGUUCUUGGUUAAAUUUAAAAUGUGUGGAAUAGAUAAAUCAAUACAUGACAUGAAGCUAUAUUUUUACAUUAAAAAUUGGUGUUUAAUGAAAUAAAAUGAUGAAUCAGUUAAGAACUUUGUGUAAGAAAUAGACAGAAGUUUACAGGAGUAGAGCCCUUUAAGAAGGAAGUAAUGAUUCCCUCUCAGUGUGUUGCUCAUCAUUUCCUUGAGGGUCAUUUCCCUAAGACCGAGUCUGCCCCAAGUAAUGUUCAUAAAAGGUCCAAUGAGGCUUCUCUGGGUUAAAAGGAAAAUAGCUACAACCUGGCAGUAAGUUCCAUUGGAUUCUGGAUUUUUUUCAGCACAAGAUGUCACUUUUGACUUGUUAAAGUCUCUUCAUGAGCACUUAAAGUACAUCUCCAUGGAAGUUCUGUUUAUAUAGAAAUAACAUUUAUUGCUUUUUACUAUUUGUGGUAGUCAGAAUAAUGGCUCCCCACAGAUGUCCAGGUCCUACUGCCCAGAAUCUAUGAAUACGUUACAUAACAUGGCCAAGGGGAAUUAAAGUUGCAGGUGGGAUUAAGGUUGCUAAUCAGCUGACCUUAAAAUAGGGAGAGUGUUCUGGAUUAUCUGAGUGGGCCCAAUGCAAUCACAAGAGUCCUUAAAAGUGGAAGAGGGAGGCAGAAGUCAGAGGUCGGAGUGAUGCAGUGUGAGAAGGACUCAACCUACUGUUGUUGGCUUUGAAGUUGAAGGAAAGGGGCCACAAGCCAAGGAAUGUGAAUGCCCUGGAGAAGCUGGAAAAGCUAAGAAAACAAAUUCUCCUCUGGAGCCUCCAGCAAAGUGCUGACCCUUGCCAACACCUUGAUUUUAGCCAAGUGAGAUGCAUAAAGCACUUCUGUCUUAGAGAACCAGAAGAUAAUAAAUUUGUAUUAAGUAGCUAAAUUUGUGGCAAUUUGUUGCCGCAGGAAUAAAAAAAACUAAUACACCAUUUAUGAGAGGAAAAGCCUUGCAAGAAAAGAUUUAGAAAAUAGCAAAAUGUAUGCAAAAUAAAAUAAAAAUGACCAUAUUUGACCAUGUACAAAGACACUUAUUAACAAACCUCUAGUUCUUUUUUACAUUGAACACGUUACUUUGAAAAGUGUGGAAUCACAUUGUCACCUCAUCUGCUUUUAUCACCUGGCCUUAUAUUGUAAGCAAUUUCCCACACCUUUAAAUGUUAUAGAAAACUUAUAUUUCACUUGGUAGAUAUCCUACAAUUUAUCUAAUCAAUCACCUAUAUUUUGUUUCUGUGACAAAUAUGCUUAUAUAUCUUUGAUGAUUUUCUUAGUAAAAAUUCCUAGAAUUAAAAUUACUGCAUGACAAAUGUAUGAAUAUUGUUAGUUUUUAAAAUACAUAUUACUGUGUCAUCCUCCAGAAAGACUGUUAAUUUCCAUCUCACAGGCAGCAUAUGAUUAUAGCUGUUCCUCCUCACCACUGACAAACCCUGGGCGUUAUCGCUUUUUGAAAUUGCCAUGUUGAAAGGUGAAGAAGAGUAUGGCAUUGCUUUAAUCUGCAUUUCUUUGAUGACCGAUGCAGCUGAGCUCUUUUCUAUAAUAAUUAGCUAUUUGUGUCUCUUGUUUUAUGAACUGCCUGCUUACGUCUUCUUGUUUUGAGAUGUAUUUUCAUAUUGACUUGUAGGAAUUAUUUAUAUAUUAAGGAUAGUAACCCAUUACCUAUUCUGUAUGGUACAAAUAAUUUUUCCUUUAUUUGCCUUUUUUCCUCUUAUGUUGGUUGAUCAUGUAUUAUUUGAUCUUUGUGUCUGUGCACACAUACCUAAAUAUAUACACACGUUAUGUACACAUACACUUUCAUAAAAAUAUUACUAGAAAUCCCACACCUUAAUCCCAGGGAAAAUCGCUGUUAUAUUUUUUGAUAUCUAUUUGAACAGAUCUUUUUCCCACAAAAUGAUAUAUGUACAUAGUUAUGUAAACUGGGAUAUUAUGUAGACUACCCAGUGAUCUGUUUUAACACUUGACAGUAUAGAUUAGUUUUUAUGUAAAUAUAUCUUGAUCAUUAUUUGUGACAAUUGCAUUGUAUUCUAGCUUAUGAAGGUAACUUAU